This 612-nucleotide ribosomal RNA is filed under the name Arcopilus cupreus. RNAcentral's name for it is "eukaryotic LSU rRNA". The stretch from base 234 to 387 matches the Rfam family "5.8S ribosomal RNA". Lineage: Eukaryota; Fungi; Ascomycota; Sordariomycetes; Sordariales; Chaetomiaceae. The record is from RNAcentral.
UUUCCGUAAGGGGUGACUGCGGAGGGAUCAUUACAGAGUUGCAAAACUCCCUAAACCAUUGUGGACGCUACCUUCAAACGUUGCUUCGGCGGGCGGCCCGCUCCCCUGGAAAGCCCCUGUGGCCGCCCGGGGCUGCAGGCCCCCCGGCCCCCCCUCGCGGGGGCGCCCGCCGGAGGAUGCCCAACUCUUGAUAAUUUUAGGCCUCUCUGAGUCUUCUGUACUGAAUAAGUCAAAACUUUCAACAACGGAUCUCUUGGUUCUGGCAUCGAUGAAGAACGCAGCGAAAUGCGAUAAGUAAUGUGAAUUGCAGAAUUCAGUGAAUCAUCGAAUCUUUGAACGCACAUUGCGCCCGCCAGUAUUCUGGCGGGCAUGCCUGUUCGAGCGUCAUUUCAACCAUCAAGCCCCAGGCUUGUGUUGGGGACCUGCGGCUGCCCGCAGGCCCUGAAAACCAGUGGCGGGCUCGCUGUCACCCCGAGCGUAGUAGCAAUCACCUCGCUCAGGGCGUGCCGCGGGCGCCGGCCGUUAAAGCUGCCUUCGCGCAACACCCAAGGUUGACCUCGGAUCAGGUAGGAAGACCCGCUGAACUUAAGCAUAUCAAAAGCCGGGAGGAAA